AAGUCCAUGAUGAAAACAUUUUUGAAGUAUGUAUUUGGAACAUUCAUAUGCCUCAUAUAGUGAUUCACCAUCUUCUAGGGAAAAAGUGGUAAUAUUGUUUCUCAACUU
RNAcentral lists this small nucleolar RNA (108 nucleotides) under Helianthus annuus (common sunflower). RNAcentral's name for it is "Plant small nucleolar RNA R71". The record is from RNAcentral. Lineage: Eukaryota; Viridiplantae; Streptophyta; Magnoliopsida; Asterales; Asteraceae.